UUUAUGGAGAGUUUGAUCCUGGCUCAGGAUGAACGCUGGCGGCGUGCCUAAUACAUGCAAGUCGAGCGAACAGACGAGGAGCUUGCUCCUCUGACGUUAGCGGCGGACGGGUGAGUAACACGUGGAUAACCUACCUAUAAGACUGGGAUAACUUCGGGAAACCGGAGCUAAUACCGGAUAACAUGUUGAACCGCAUGGUUCAACAGUGAAAGACGGUCUUGCUGUCACUUAUAGACGGUCUUGCUGACGG
RNAcentral lists this ribosomal RNA (250 nucleotides) under Staphylococcus capitis. Its description in RNAcentral is "partial 16S ribosomal RNA". It matches the Rfam family "Bacterial small subunit ribosomal RNA", at positions 1 to 240 of the family's 1533-position model. The record is from RNAcentral. Lineage: Bacteria; Bacillati; Bacillota; Bacilli; Caryophanales; Staphylococcaceae.